GACAGAGGGUGCAAACGUUGUUCGGAAUUACUGGGCGUAAAGCGCGUGUAGGCGGCUUGGCAAGUCGGAUGUGAAAGCCCAGGGCUCAACCCUGGAAGUGCACUCGAAACUGCCGAGCUGGAGUCCCGGAGAGGAAGGCGGAAUUCUCGGUGUAGAGGUGAAAUUCGUAGGUAUCGAGAGGAACACCUGUGGCGAAGGCGGCCUUCUGGACGGUGACUGACGCUGAGACGCGAAAGCGUGGGGAGCAAACAGG
Molecule: ribosomal RNA, 253 nt
Filed under: uncultured bacterium
Lineage: Bacteria
Description: partial 16S ribosomal RNA
Rfam family: Bacterial small subunit ribosomal RNA
Source: RNAcentral